GCUCGUAGUUGGAUUUUGGGUUAGGGUGUCCGGUCCGCCGUUUCGGUGUGCACUGGGCGCUCUUUCCUUUCUGCCGGGGACCGUUGGGUGUCUUAAUUGCCAUCCCUCGGGAGUCGGCGUUGUUACUUUGAAAAAAUUAGAGUGUUCAAAGCAAGCCAUCGCUCUGAAUACAUUAGCAUGGAAUAACAUGAUAGGACUCCGCUCUUAUUUUGUUGGUUUCCGAGACUGGAGUAAUGAUUAAGAGGGACAGUCGGGGGCAUCCGUAUUUCAUUGUCAGAGGUGAAAUUCUUGGAUUUAUGAAAGACGAACUUCUGCGAAAGCAUUUGCCAAGGAUGUUUUCAUUAAUCAAGAACGAAAGUUGGGGGCUCGAAGAUGAUCAGAUACCAUCCUAGUCUCAACCAUAAACGAUGCCGACUAGGGAUUGGCGGAUGUUCCUUAGAUGACUCCGCCAGCACCUUAUGAGAAAUCAUUAAGUUUUUGGGUUCCGGGGGGAGUAUGGUCGCAAGGCUGAAACUUAAAGGAAUUGACGGAAGGGCACCACCAGGCGUUGUUUGCUACAAGCUCUAAGCGCCAGUCAGCGAUUGAUGGACCGCCACUGCCCUUGGCCCAUC
RNAcentral lists this ribosomal RNA (611 nucleotides) under Prasinoderma singulare. RNAcentral describes it as "SSU rRNA". It matches the Rfam family "Eukaryotic small subunit ribosomal RNA", at positions 626 to 1538 of the family's 1831-position model. The record is from RNAcentral. Lineage: Eukaryota; Viridiplantae; Prasinodermophyta; Prasinodermophyceae; Prasinodermales; Prasinodermaceae.